UUAUGAGAUCUUUAGAUAUAUUGACAGAUUUAAGGUGAACAGAAAUGCACAUGGGACUCCAAUUCAACUGAGUCAUUACACCUGGAGGCCCUGCAAGCUUCAAUGAUUGAAUCUCUCCUCAUGAUAGCUAAUAAUAAUAACCACCCUGAUGGUAGUUCAAAUAAAAGCCAGUAGGUAUUGCACAUGGAUUCCUCAACCAAUUCAAUAUAUCUAAAGAUCUCAUAAAAGCCUCAAACCAUCUUUCUUCUACACUCUCCAACUCCAACAUCACAUUGUGCACCAUUUUACUUCUAGGGGACAAAUGGAUAAAAAUACAUCGAAUCACAUCCCCAUUUGAGAUUCUAUAGGGUCAGAACUUUGCAUCUCUCAUCACAAUUACAUAUGAGAUAAUAAGUGCAAGAUAGGCUGGCAGCUGGCUAGUAGGACAUGAGCACAUUGAGGGUGGAUUUUGUUCUCUCCCCAUAAAGGUUGAUUGUAUAAUAAUAAAGCCUCUACAGUAAGGAACUCGUAAAAGAAUGAAAGAAAGUGUCUUACAUAUGUUAUACAUCAACAGCAUCAACUGGAAGGGAUGUUGUCCUGUGAAGUGAAUGUGGAAGCAAUGACCUACUGUAGAAACUCUUGGCAGUGACCAUGUCACUUGUUCUCGGGGAUUCCUUCAUCGCCACACAAUUUCGGGCCCUUCUGGUAUCCAAAUUGGGGCGGCUAUUAUUGACAUCUUUAUUCAAAUUGGGACCAUAAAGCUUCUCAUGACCUAAAGAUUUGAAGAGAUCUCCAUUGGUACUUCCUUGAAAUGAAUUCAUUACUGCAGAUGACAAAACCCCAUUACUUGGUUUGCAGUUUCUAUUGCUAGAAGUUGAAGAUUUUGAUACAAUUCCUAAUUGUUGAUCUCUAAGUUUUCCCAAUUCGAUAUGGUACUU
RNAcentral lists this unclassified non-coding RNA (917 nucleotides) under Hevea brasiliensis (rubber tree). Lineage: Eukaryota; Viridiplantae; Streptophyta; Magnoliopsida; Malpighiales; Euphorbiaceae. The record is from RNAcentral.